CAAUAGCGUACAUUUAAGUUGUUGCAGUUAAAAAGCUCGUAGUUGGAUUUCGGAUGGGAUUUGCCGGUCCGUCGUUACGAUGUGCACUGGCCAGUCCUAUCUUGUUGUCGGGGACUAGCUCCUUGGAUUCACUUCCUGGGACUAGGAGCUGACGAGGUUACUUUGAGUAAAUUAGAGUGUUCAAAGCAAGCCUACGCUCUGAAUACAUUAGCAUGGAAUAACACGAUAGGACUCUGGCUUAUCUUGUUGGUCUGUGAGACCAGAGUAAUGAUUAAGAGGGACAGUCGGGGACAUUCGUAUUUCAUUGUCAGAGGUGAAAUUCUUGGAUUUAUGAAAGACGAACUUCUGCGAAAGCAUUUGUCAAGGAUGUUUUCAUUAA
This 379-nucleotide ribosomal RNA is filed under the name uncultured eukaryote. RNAcentral's name for it is "partial 18S ribosomal RNA". It matches the Rfam family "Eukaryotic small subunit ribosomal RNA", at positions 592 to 976 of the family's 1831-position model. The record is from RNAcentral.